Molecule: ribosomal RNA, 253 nt
Filed under: uncultured bacterium
Lineage: Bacteria
Description: partial 16S ribosomal RNA
Rfam family: Bacterial small subunit ribosomal RNA
Source: RNAcentral
UACGUAGGGGGCAAGCGUUAUCCGGAUUCACUGGGUGUAAAGGGAGCGUAGACGGCCAUGCAAGCCUGGAGUGAAAGCCCGGGGCCCAACCCCGGGACUGCUCUGGGAACUGUGCGGCUGGAGUGCGGGAGGGGCAGGCGGAAUUCCUGGUGUAGCGGUGAAAUGCGUAGAUAUCAGGAGGAACACCGGCGGCGAAGGCGGCUUACUGGACUGUAACUGACGUUGAGGCUCGAAAGCGUGGGGAGCAAACAGG